This 449-nucleotide ribosomal RNA is filed under the name uncultured bacterium. Its description in RNAcentral is "partial 16S ribosomal RNA". It matches the Rfam family "Bacterial small subunit ribosomal RNA", at positions 29 to 523 of the family's 1533-position model. The record is from RNAcentral.
AACGAACACUGGCGGCAUGCCUAACACAUGCAAGUCGAACGAGACCUUCGGGUCUAGUGGCGCACGGGUGCGUAACGCGUGGGAAUCUGCCUAAAGGUUCGGAAUAACAGUUAGAAAUGACUGCUAAUACCGGAUGAUGUCUUCGGACCAAAGAUUUAUCGCCUUUAGAUGAGCCCGCGUAGGAUUAGCUUGUUGGUGGGGUAAAGGCCUACCAAGGCGACGAUCCUUAGCUGGUCUGAGAGGAUGAUCAGCCACACUGGGACUGAGACACGGCCCAGACUCCUACGGGAGGCAGCAGUGGGGAAUAUUGGACAAUGGGCGAAAGCCUGAUCCAGCAAUGCCGCGUGAGUGAUGAAGGCCUUAGGGUUGUAAAGCUCUUUUACCCGGGAUGAUAAUGACAGUACCGGGAGAAUAAGCCCCGGCUAACUCCGUGCCAGCCGCCGCCGUAA